UACGUAGGGUGCAAGCGUUAAUCCGAAUUACUGGGCGUAAAGCGUGCGCAGGCGGUGAUGUAAGACAGAUGUGAAAUCCCCGGGCUCAACCUGGGAACUGCAUUUGUGACUGCAUCGCUGGAGUGCGGCAGAGGGGGAUGGAAUUCCGCGUGUAGCAGUGAAAUGCGUAGAUAUGCGGAGGAACACCGAUGGCGAAGGCAAUCCCCUGGGCCUGCACUGACGCUCAUGCACGAAAGCGUGGGGAGCAAACAGG
Molecule: ribosomal RNA, 253 nt
Filed under: uncultured bacterium
Lineage: Bacteria
Description: partial 16S ribosomal RNA
Rfam family: Bacterial small subunit ribosomal RNA
Source: RNAcentral